Molecule: ribosomal RNA, 447 nt
Filed under: uncultured Thiobacillus sp.
Lineage: Bacteria; Pseudomonadati; Pseudomonadota; Betaproteobacteria; Nitrosomonadales; Thiobacillaceae
Description: bacterial SSU rRNA
Rfam family: Bacterial small subunit ribosomal RNA
Source: RNAcentral
UGGAUGAUGUGGAUUAAUUCGAUGCGAACGCGAAAACCUUACCUACCCUUGACAUGUCCGGAAUCCUGCAGAGAUGCGGGAGUGCCCGAAAGGGAAUCGGAACACAGGUGCUGCAUGGCUGUCGUCAGCUCGUGUCGCGAGAUGUUGGGUUAAGUCCCGCAACGAGCGCAACCCUUGCCAUUAGUUGCUACGAAAGGGCACUCUAAUGGGACUGCCGGUGACAAACCGGAGGAAGGUGGGGGAUGACGUCAAGUCCUCAUGGCCCUUAUAGGUGGGGCUACACACGUCGUACAAUGGCCGGUACAGAGGGUAGCCAACCCGCGAGGGGGGAGCCAAUCCCACAAAGCCGGUCGUAGUCCGGAUCGCAGUCUGCAACUCGACUGCGUGAAGUCGGAAUCGCUAGUAAUCGCGGAUCAGCAUGUCGCGGUGAAUACGUUCCCGGGUCUU